CCCACCAUCGCACUAAAUCAGAAGCCCUAAAUCUCGAACAAGAAAUUAACCGGUAAGUGAAUCAACGAUUAUCGUGAUGAUGAUUACGAGAAAGAAAUUAGAAGAUGACUCUUUCAACAUCCAAUGGAAAAUCGUAUAUGGUUAAUCACUGAUCUACAGUUGCAGGUAAGUGAAUCAACGAUCAUCGUGAUGAUGAUUACGAGGUGUUUGAUCCAGUGGGUAUUUGUGGAUCUAUACAUGCCUAAUUAGGUCAUGAGAUUUAAAUCAAUUUAGUGACGGUAAUCUUAUAUGUUUGUUAAUCGUUUCCACUAAAUUGACUAAAUAAUCGGUACGUUUUUGGACUAGACGCCUGUAUAUAGCUUACAUUUAUUAAUAGGUUGGAAUGUAAAUUGAUU
Molecule: long non-coding RNA, 395 nt
Filed under: Helianthus annuus (common sunflower)
Lineage: Eukaryota; Viridiplantae; Streptophyta; Magnoliopsida; Asterales; Asteraceae
Description: sRNA HanXRQr2_Chr06g0242141
Source: RNAcentral